RNAcentral lists this non-coding RNA (213 nucleotides) under Gracilinema caldarium. Lineage: Bacteria; Pseudomonadati; Spirochaetota; Spirochaetia; Treponematales; Breznakiellaceae. The record is from RNAcentral.
GUAUAUUAUUCAUAGAUUUGUGCUGAAAACCUGAAUGGAAUAUCGGAAUGUGGUGAAAGUCCACAGCGGUCCCGCCACCGUAACCGGGGAUGAACCCAGUACCCUUUUUUUGAGGGGCAGUCAUUAUGUUUGGGCUUUGAUCCAGGCAUGAGAAGACACUGGAAGUAACGUGAUCCGGAAGCCGGGAGACGGUUCCAAUCAGGAUACCUAGAC